Molecule: ribosomal RNA, 253 nt
Filed under: uncultured bacterium
Lineage: Bacteria
Description: partial 16S ribosomal RNA
Rfam family: Bacterial small subunit ribosomal RNA
Source: RNAcentral
UACGUAUGGUGCAAGCGUUAUCCGGAUUUACUGGGUGUAAAGGGAGCGUAGACGGCCAGACAAGUCUGAAGUGAAAAUCCAGCGCUUAACGUUGGAAGUGCUUUGGAAACUGCCGGGCUAGAGUGCUGGAGGGGCAGGCGGAAUUCCUAGUGUAGCGGUGAAAUGCGUAGAUAUUAGGAGGAACACCAGUGGCGAAGGCGGCCUGCUGGACUGCAACUGACGUUGAGGCUCGAAGGCGUGGGGAGCAAACAGG